UACGGGGGGAGCAAGCGUUGUUCGGAUUUACUGGGCGUAAAGGGCGCGUAGGCGGCCACCGCAAGUCGACUGUGAAAUCUCCGGGCUUAACUCGGAAAGGUCAGCCGAUACUGCGGGGCUAGAGUGCAGAAGGGGCAACUGGAAUUCUCGGUGUAGCGGUGAAAUGUGUAGAUAUUCGGAAGAACACCAGUGGCGAAGGCAGCAACUUGGUCUGGUAUCGACGCUCAGGCACGAAAGCAUGGGGAUCAAACAGG
Molecule: ribosomal RNA, 254 nt
Filed under: uncultured prokaryote
Description: partial 16S ribosomal RNA
Rfam family: Bacterial small subunit ribosomal RNA
Source: RNAcentral